CAGCCGCCGCGGUAAUGCGAAGGGGGCGAGCGUUGCUCGGAAUGACUGGGCGUAAAGGGCGCGUAGGUGGUACGGACAGUCAGAUGUGAAAUUCCCGGGCUCAACCUGGGGGCUGCAUUUGAUACGUCCGAACUAGAGUGUGGAAGAGGGUCGUGGAAUUCCCAGUGUAGAGGUGAAAUUCGUAGAUAUUGGGAAGAACACCGGUGGCGAAGGCGGCGACCUGGUCCAUUACUGACGCUGAGGCGCGAAAGCGUGGGGAGCAAACAGGAUUAGAUACCCCUGUAGUCCCUGUCUCUUAUAC
Molecule: ribosomal RNA, 301 nt
Filed under: uncultured bacterium
Lineage: Bacteria
Description: partial 16S ribosomal RNA
Rfam family: Bacterial small subunit ribosomal RNA
Source: RNAcentral